This 71-nucleotide small RNA is filed under the name Arabidopsis thaliana (thale cress). RNAcentral's name for it is "ATSL188990". Lineage: Eukaryota; Viridiplantae; Streptophyta; Magnoliopsida; Brassicales; Brassicaceae. The record is from RNAcentral.
UUCUCCGUCCCCCGUCCUGAAACGCACCCUUGACUUUGCUGAUGCUGAAGAAGACGAAUCCUGGGGUGGCU